Long non-coding RNA from Homo sapiens (human), 439 nucleotides. The record is from Ensembl. Lineage: Eukaryota; Metazoa; Chordata; Mammalia; Primates; Hominidae.
UGCUUACUGUUUACAUGCCCAGGUCCCCCACUACACAGGAAGAAACCCUUUCUAGCUCAUCUGUUUCCUUAAGACCGAGAAUCAGCCUGGGAUGCUCUGACUCCAGCUCCCCUGAGUUCUCAGGAUGUGAGGGGUCUAUGGUUCGUCCCCCCGCUCCAGCCUGGAGAUGACAUCAGGUUUGGAAGCUUGAAGUCCUGCUCCAGAGAAAGGAAGCAAGACCUGAAAAGUCAUCCCAGGUAGAGGGCAGGAUGGACCUGUGGUCUGAGUCUUUGUGCUGGUUGUGUCCUUCCCUGCCACCUGGUCUCUAACCGUGGAGAAAGACACAGGCCUCUGCCUAAGCUGAGGAAAGGUCAAAACUAGCUUUUCAGGAGGACGGGGAGCAUAGAUAGGACAGUGUUGGGGCCUGAACACAUCAUGGUAGAGGACUCAUAGUAGUGGG